GCCCUCGUGGCCCAACUGGCAGAGGCAACGGACUCAAAACCCGUACGGUGUCGGUUCGAAUCCGACCGGGGGCA
RNAcentral lists this transfer RNA (74 nucleotides) under Rhodococcus antarcticus. RNAcentral's name for it is "Rhodococcus sp. 75 tRNA-Leu". It matches the Rfam family "tRNA". From Rfam's summary of the family: Transfer RNA (tRNA) molecules are approximately 80 nucleotides in length. Their secondary structure includes four short double-helical elements and three loops (D, anti-codon, and T loops). Further hydrogen bonds mediate the characteristic L-shaped molecular structure. tRNAs have two regions of fundamental functional importance: the anti-codon, which is responsible for specific mRNA codon recognition, and the 3' end, to which the tRNAs corresponding amino acid is attached (by aminoacyl-tRNA synthetases). tRNAs cope with the degeneracy of the genetic code in two manners: having more than one tRNA (with a specific anti-codon) for a particular amino acid; and 'wobble' base-pairing, i.e. permitting non-standard base-pairing at the 3rd anti-codon position. The record is from RNAcentral. Lineage: Bacteria; Bacillati; Actinomycetota; Actinomycetes; Mycobacteriales; Nocardiaceae.